RNAcentral lists this ribosomal RNA (253 nucleotides) under uncultured bacterium. RNAcentral describes it as "partial 16S ribosomal RNA". It matches the Rfam family "Bacterial small subunit ribosomal RNA", at positions 524 to 776 of the family's 1533-position model. The record is from RNAcentral.
UACGGGGGGAGCAAGCGUUGUUCGGAAUUAUUGGGCGUAAAGAGCUCGUAGGCGGUCUGUCGCGUCUGCUGUGAAAACUCGGGGCUUAACCCCGGGCCUGCAGUGGGUACGGGCAGACUAGAGUGCGGUAGGGGAGACUGGAAUUCCUGGUGUAGCGGUGAAAUGCGCAGAUAUCAGGAGGAACACCGGUGGCGAAGGCGGGUCUCUGGGCCGUAACUGACGCUGAGGAGCGAAAGCAUGGGGAGCGAACAGG